ACUUCGCAGCCAAUACAACAACCUACCACAUCAGCGAAUGGAGGCAACACACCAAGUCAGCCGUUUACAAUCAACAUUAAUGAUGGUUGAACAUACCAUGGUCAACGGCCGGGAGGAUGUACGAUUUAGAUUUAAACAUCAAACCGUAUGGUUAGACCUAAAUUUAUGUUUGUUAUUAGGUAUUAAGAAUUCUCAGCAACCUAAAUAAAUAUUCUCAAACUAACCCAAUAAAUAUGAGGUAUGCACCGCUGACCCACAAAAUAUUCAACAGGCAGCUGGAUGCACGUGCAUGCACAUGCCUGCACAUAAUCUUUUUAUAUUGAUACACAGUCAUAAAUUACAUUCGAGAUGAUCUGCAGUUGUAAAAUGUCACACCAUCUGCAUGAUAAUCGCUUUACGACAGUCAUACAAAUAUCUUUCCAUACCUACUUAUACUUAGAACUAAUUAAACAAGCCGAUGAUCCUAAGUAAACAAUUGUACUAAUAGAAACUGUA
Molecule: long non-coding RNA, 495 nt
Filed under: Drosophila guanche
Lineage: Eukaryota; Metazoa; Arthropoda; Insecta; Diptera; Drosophilidae
Source: RNAcentral